UAUUAAAAUUUUUAUUUAUUUCUACUAUUAAAAACUAGUGUAAAUGAUAAAUUAGCCAGACAGUUACGCUUGACGUGCCACCUGUACUUUAUGAUGUACAGGGACUAAUUUUUAACAACAGAAAUAGAUGAAAAUUUUAGUA
This is a non-coding RNA of Gossypium raimondii (Peruvian cotton), 142 nucleotides long. NCBI's taxonomy places the organism in Eukaryota, Viridiplantae, Streptophyta, Magnoliopsida, Malvales, Malvaceae. The record is from Rfam.